This 726-nucleotide ribosomal RNA is filed under the name uncultured bacterium. RNAcentral describes it as "bacterial SSU rRNA". It matches the Rfam family "Bacterial small subunit ribosomal RNA", at positions 47 to 762 of the family's 1533-position model. The record is from RNAcentral.
CCUAACACAUGCAAGUCGAACGGUAACAGGAAGCAGCUUGCUGCUUCGCUGACGAGUGGCGGACGGGUGAGUAAUGUCUGGGAAGCUGCCUGAUGGAGGGGGAUAACUACUGGAAACGGUAGCUAAUACCGCAUAAUGUCGCAAGACCAAAGAGGGGGACCUUCGGGCCUCUUGCCAUCGGAUGUGCCCAGAUGGGAUUAGCUUGUUGGUGGGGUAACGGCUCACCAAGGCGACGAUCCCUAGCUGGUCUGAGAGGAUGACCAGCCACACUGGAACUGAGACACGGUCCAGACUCCUACGGGAGGCAGCAGUGGGGAAUAUUGCACAAUGGGCGCAAGCCUGAUGCAGCCAUGCCGCGUGUAUGAAGAAGGCCUUCGGGUUGUAAAGUACUUUCAGCGGGGAGGAAGGGAGUAAAGUUAAUACCUUUGCUCAUUGACGUUACCCGCAGAAGAAGCACCGGCUAACUCCGUGCCAGCAGCCGCGGUAAUACGGAGGGUGCAAGCGUUAAUCGGAAUUACUGGGCGUAAAGCGCACGCAGGCGGUUUGUUAAGUCAGAUGUGAAAUCCCCGGGCUCAACCUGGGAACUGCAUCUGAUACUGGCAAGCUUGAGUCUCGUAGAGGGGGGUAGAAUUCCAGGUGUAGCGGUGAAAUGCGUAGAGAUCUGGAGGAAUACCGGUGGCGAAGGCGGCCCCCUGGACGAAGACUGAUGCUCACGUGCGAAAGCGU